Molecule: ribosomal RNA, 171 nt
Filed under: uncultured rumen bacterium
Lineage: Bacteria
Description: partial 16S ribosomal RNA
Rfam family: Bacterial small subunit ribosomal RNA
Source: RNAcentral
ACGCGGGAGGCAGCAGUGGGGAAUAUUGGGCAAUGGGCGCAAGCCUGACCCAGCAACGCCGCGUGAAGGAAGAAGGCUUUCGGGUUGUAAACUUCUUUUACCAGGGACGAAGGAUGUGACGGUACCUGGAGAAAAAGCCACGGCUAACUACGUGCCAGCAGCCGCGGUAAU